Molecule: ribosomal RNA, 430 nt
Filed under: uncultured bacterium
Lineage: Bacteria
Description: bacterial SSU rRNA
Rfam family: Bacterial small subunit ribosomal RNA
Source: RNAcentral
UGGGGAAUCUUGCACAAUGGACGAAAGUCUGAUGCAGCGAUGCCGCGUGAGUGAGGAAGGCCUUCGGGUUGUAAAGCUCUGUCGGACGGGAAGAACAGCGCAGAAUCUAAUAGGUUUUGCGAUUGACGGUACCGUCAAAGGAAGCACCGGCUAACUUCGUGCCAGCAGCCGCGGUAAUACGAAGGGUGCAAGCGUUGUUCGGAUUUAUUGGGCGUAAAGCGCGCGCAGGCGGGCCAAUAAGCCAGAUGUGAAAUCUCGGGGCUCAACCCCGAACGUGCGUCUGGAACUGUUGGUCUAGAAUCUUGGAGAGGGAGGCGGAAUUUCGCAUGUAGGGGUAAAAUCCGUAGAGAUGCGAAGGAACACCGGAGGCGAAGGCGGCCUCCUGGACAAGUAUUGACGCUGAGGCGCGAAAGCGUGGGGAGCAAACAGG